GUUUAACAAAGUUGGUGUGUUUAAAAAAUUUUCUUGUACAAUUACAAAUUCCUGAAUUGUGAUUAUAAGGUUAACUUGCUCUUUUCUGUACUUUGUUGAUGAAAAAAGGGACACUUUAAAAUUUUAACAGCUGAAAGCAAGUUUGCUAUAGAAGAUGUAUAGUGAGAUGGAGGAAAAAAUGUCAAGAAAGAUAGCAGUAGAAGAAAGACACUUUUGAGAUGAAAAGAUUUUGUAUGUUUGUCUUGUUAGAAGGAUAAAGAGACAUACACAAGGCCAGGAGGCUUAGUGUUCAACAACUAAAGUUUGGGGACCAGAACAAGAAAGGUAACUGGGCUAAGAAGACAGCCAAUAUUUUGGCGCUGGCCCUUCAAGGUCUACAAAGACAUAAGAGAACCUUUUCUACAAGAACCUACAACUUUGGUAAGUCACCCAACCUCCUGAACAGGGAGGUUGUUGGAUACCAGACAGAUAAAAGUCAAAAGUAUGCCAAAUGAGUGUCACUCAUAGGGAAAAAUCUC
Molecule: long non-coding RNA, 518 nt
Filed under: Fukomys damarensis (Damara mole-rat)
Lineage: Eukaryota; Metazoa; Chordata; Mammalia; Rodentia; Bathyergidae
Description: lncRNA (ENSFDAG00000023802.1)
Source: RNAcentral